RNAcentral lists this ribosomal RNA (374 nucleotides) under uncultured organism. RNAcentral's name for it is "partial 16S ribosomal RNA". It matches the Rfam family "Bacterial small subunit ribosomal RNA", at positions 527 to 896 of the family's 1533-position model. The record is from RNAcentral.
GUAGGUGGCAAGCGUUGUCCGGAAUUAUUGGGGCGUAAAGCGCGCGCAGGCGGUCCUUUAAGGUCUGAUGUGAAAGCCCACGGGCUCAGCCGUGGAGGGUCAUUGGAAACUGGGGGACUUGAGUACAGAAGAGGAAAGCGGAAUUCCACGUGUAGCGGUGAAAUGCGUAGAGAUGCGGAGGAACACCAGUGGCGAAGGCGGCUUUCUGGUCUGUAACUGACGCUGAGGCGCGAAAGCGUGGGGAGCAAACAGGAUUAGAUACCCUGGUAGUCCACGCCGUAAACGAUGAGUGCUAAGUGUUAGGGGGUUUCCGCCCCUUAGUGCUGCAGCUAACGCAUUAAGCACUCCGCAUGGGGAGUACGGCCGCAAGGCUG